AGUCAAGUAAUUAAGUGCAUGUGGUGGAUGCCUUGGCAGUCAGAGGCGAUGAAAGACGUGAUAGCCUGCGAAAAGCUCCGGGGAGGCGGCAAAUAUCCUUUGAUCCGGAGAUGUCUGAAUGGGGGAACCCACCUACUUUAAGGUAGGUAUUGCAACAUGAAUACAUAGUGUUGCAAGGCGAACGAGGGGAAGUGAAACAUCUCAGUACCCUUAGGAAAAGAAAUCAAUUGAGAUUCCCUCAGUAGCGGCGAGCGAACGGGGAUCAGCCCAUUAAGUUAUGUGUGUUUUAGUGGAACGCUCUGGGAAGUGCGAACGUAGAGGGUGAUAUUCCCGUACACGAAAGGGCACACAUAAUGAUGACGAGUAGGGCGAGGCACGUGAAACCUUGUCUGAAUAUGGGGGGACCAUCCUCCAAGGCUAAAUACUCCUGACUGACCGAUAGUGAACCAGUACCGUGAGGGAAAGGCGAAAAGAACCCCUGUGAGGGGAGUGAAAUAGAUCCUGAAACCGCAUGCAUACAAGCAGUGGGAGCACCUUCGUGGUGUGACUGCGUACCUUUUGUAUAAUGGGUCAGCGACUUAUAUUCAGUAGCGAGGUUAACCGUAUAGGGGAGCCGUAGAGAAAUCGAGUCUUAAUAGGGCGUUUAGUUGCUGGGUAUAGACCCGAAACCAGGCGAUCUAUCCAUGAGCAGGUUGAAGGUUGGGUAACACUAACUGGAGGACCGAACCCACUGUCGUUGAAAAGCCAGGGGAUGACUUGUGGAUAGGGGUGAAAGGCUAAUCAAGCCUGGUGAUAGCUGGUUCUCCCCGAAAGCUAUUUAGGUAGCGCCUCGGACGAAUACCAUAGGGGGUAGAGCACUGUUUCGGCUAGGGGGUCAUCCCGACUUACCAAACCGAUGCAAACUCCGAAUACCUAUGAGUACUAUCCGGGAGACAGACUGCGGGUGCUAACGUCCGUAGUCAAGAGGAAAACAAUCCAGACCGCCAGCUAAGGCCCCAAAAUCAUAGUUAAGUGGGAAACGAUGUGGGAAGGCAUAGACAGCUAGGAGGUUGGCUUAGAAGCAGCCACCCUUUAAAGAAAGCGUAAUAGCUCACUAGUCGAGUCGGCCUGCGCGGAAGAUGUAACGGGGCUAAAACUAUGUGCCGAAGCUGCGGAUGUAUACUUUGUAUACGUGGUAGGGGAGCGUUCUGUAAGCCGAUGAAGGUGUGUUGAGAAGCAUGCUGGAGGUAUCAGAAGUGCGAAUGCUGACGUGAGUAACGACAAAACGGGUGAAAAACCCGUUCGCCGAAAGACCAAGGGUUCCAGUCCAACGUUAAUCGGGGCUGGGUGAGUCGACCCCUAAGGCGAGGCCGAAAGGCGUAGUCGAUGGGAAAAUGGUUAAUAUUCCAUUACUUCUGUGUAAUGCGAUGAGAGGACGGAGAAGGCUAAAUCAGCCUGGCGUUGGUUGUCCAGGUGAAAGGAUGUAGGCAUGUAUCUUAGGCAAAUCCGGGGUACUCUAUGCUGAGAUCUGAUAGCAAGCUGUACUUGUACAGCGAAGUGGUUGAUGCCAUGCUUCCAGGAAAAGUCUCUAAGCUUCA
This 1577-nucleotide ribosomal RNA is filed under the name Acinetobacter baumannii ABNIH23. RNAcentral describes it as "bacterial LSU rRNA". It matches the Rfam family "Bacterial large subunit ribosomal RNA", at positions 1 to 1630 of the family's 2925-position model. The record is from RNAcentral. Lineage: Bacteria; Pseudomonadati; Pseudomonadota; Gammaproteobacteria; Moraxellales; Moraxellaceae.